Long non-coding RNA from Choloepus didactylus (southern two-toed sloth), 653 nucleotides. RefSeq lists it as uncharacterized. The record is from RefSeq and is a predicted model, not a curated record. Lineage: Eukaryota; Metazoa; Chordata; Mammalia; Pilosa; Megalonychidae. The transcript is spliced from 2 exons.
AGUGUCGGCUGCACCAUGGCCCGGGUGGGCAGAGCCCAGGACCCCCGGGGGAGCCACGCAGCCCCCCUUGCCUUCUGGCCCCAGCUCUGCUUGAGGGCCCCUUACUGCCUGGGGGGCGGCUGCCAUUUCUCCUCAUUUCCGGGGCACCUUCCUGCCCUGGAGAGAAGGAGCACUGGAUUGCUGAGCCAUGCGCAAGGUGGGGGGCUCGCAGCCCAGCUCGCCAGGGGACAGUGACCCCUCCGGCUCCCAGAGGAAGCCCCCCCUUGGCCCCACACUGCUCAUCUUAAAACUUCUGGCAUUUUUGUCCAGUUUUAAGAUGAUGAUGUUGCCUCUCUUCUCCAGUAAGAGCAACCGCAUCAGGCCCAUUCAGGAAACAUGUAAACCUUCUCCUGCAGCUGAAAAAUGAAACUGGUUUCCAGAUGCGCCUGAACAGCUUCCCCGCCCCUGCGAGUCCAGACAGCUGCGGCCCCUCCCCGAGGGCGGCCCAGAACCCCGGCCACAGCACGGAGAUGGCUCCGUCUCCAUCCGCCCUCGGGUUCACUUCCUCCGAGACGGCCCUUGCGGAGGGGUCCCUGGUGCUCCCCCCAGCCUGCCACCUCACUGUGCCUCACUUCCCAGCAGAGCACCCCAGUAAAGUUGGUUGUCACUGGCUC